This 1343-nucleotide ribosomal RNA is filed under the name uncultured bacterium. Its description in RNAcentral is "16S ribosomal RNA". It matches the Rfam family "Bacterial small subunit ribosomal RNA", at positions 28 to 1378 of the family's 1533-position model. The record is from RNAcentral.
GACGAACGCUGGCGGCGUGCUUAACACAUGCAAGUCGAACGGAAAGGCCCUGCUUUUGUGGGGUGCUCGAGUGGCGAACGGGUGAGUAGCACGUGAGUAACCUGCCCUUGACUUUGGGAUAACUUCAGGAAACUGGGGCUAAUACCGGAUAGGAGCUCCUGCUGCAUGGUGGGGGUUGGAAAGUUUCGGCGGUUGGGGAUGGACUCGCGGCUUAUCAGCUUGUUGGUGGGGUAGUGGCUUACCAAGGCUUUGACGGGUAGCCGGCCUGAGAGGGUGACCGGCCACAUUGGGACUGAGAUACGGCCCAGGCUCCUACGGGAGGCAGCAGUGGGGAAUAUUGCACAAUGGGCGGAAGCCUGAUGCAGCAACGCCGCGUGCGGGAUGACGGCCUUCGGGUUGUAAACCGCUUUCGCCUGUGACGAAGCGUGAGUGACGGUAAUGGGUAAAGAAGCACCGGCUAACUACGUGCCAGCAGCCGCGGUGAUACGUAGGGUGCGAGCGUUGUCCGGAUUUAUUGGGCGUAAAGGGCUCGUAGGUGGUUGAUCGCGUCGGAAGUGUAAUCUUGGGGCUUAACCCUGAGCGUGCUUUCGAUACGGGUUGACUUGAGGAAGGUAGGGGAGGAUGGAAUUCCUGGUGGAGCGGUGGAAUGCGCAGAUAUCAGGAGGAACACCAGUGGCGAAGGCGGUUCUCUGGGCCUUUCCUGACGCUGAGGAGCGAAAGCGUGGGGAGCGAACAGGCUUAGAUACCCUGGUAGUCCACGCUGUAAACGGUGGGUACUAGGUGUGGGGUCCAUUCCACGGGUUCCGUGCCGUAGCUAACGCUUUAAGUACCCCGCCUGGGGAGUACGGCCGCAAGGCUAAAACUCAAAGGAAUUGACGGGGCCCCGCACAAGCGGCGGAGCAUGCGGAUUAAUUCGAUGCAACGCGUAGAACCUUACCUGGGUUUGACGUGGAUCGGGAGUGCUCAGAGAUGGGUGUGCCUCUUUUGGGGUCGGUUCACAGGUGGUGCAUGGCUGUCGUCAGCUCGUGUCGUGAGAUGUUGGGUUAAGUCCCGCAACGGGCGCAACCCUUGUUCACUGUUGCCAGCACGUUAUGGUGGGGACUCAGUGGAGACCGCCGGGGUCAACUCGGAGGAAGGUGGGGAUGACGUCAAGUCAUCAUGCCCCUUAUGUCCAGGGCUUCACGCAUGCUACAAUGGCUGGUACAGAGAGUGGCGAGCCUGUGAGGGUGAGCGAAUCUCGGAAAGCCGGUCUCAGUUCGGAUUGGGGUCUGCAACUCGACCUCAUGAAGUCGGAGUCGCUAGUAAUCGCAGAUCAGCAACGCUGCGGUGAAUACGUUCCCGGG